CCAAGCAAAUACUAAGUGCUAGCUUUGUGAUCUAAACCAAGUUUUUUACACAUUAAUAACACCCAUUUCAUGCUAUAUUUAGCUCAACAAACCAUGAAACACAUUAUUUACCAAAAAAUUAUAAAGAACUUAAGGUGGUUUUUAUUAUGUUUUUUCUGGAGGUGAAAGCUGAUGAAAUCUCGAAGUAAGUUGGCCUUGGGGUUGAGGGGCAACCUACAGAUCGGAUUAAAUCUUCCACAGCUAGCACUUGAAACUUAGGGGGUGAAUUCAGUGCGAUGUUGUCGACUCGUGGCUCAUAUAUUUUACCCUCUUGUCGAGUUUUGUAUUCAGAAGUGCCAUCGAAUCGACCACGACUCUCCCAUGGGAACUCGUGGAAUGCCAUGGAUGGUCCAGCGAACCAUUACACAUUCUCCAUUGGCUGCCAUACACUGACAUUGUCGAGCCAGAGAGCUUUGAAAAAUAUCCUCCCAUGGAAUCGCAGCGCCCCGAAGAUUGACUUAAUAAUUGUCGAUUUCCGAUGAAAGUUAUUGAGAGGAUCUUUGAAUACAAUGUCAUCCCUAAAUAGAGGAGAAGUUAACUUUGUCAGAAUAUGGAGUAUAAAGAUGGACAGUAUAUGAGAAAAUUAAUCCUCCUGCAUUUAUAGAGGUGUCACAUAGAAAGCCCAUAAUCUAUUUACACGAGGAAGGCAGCAGCAUGCAUCAGCCUAGUGGGCAUAUGCUAUUUAUGCACGUACGGCAUAACUUUAUCCAGUAUUGUUAAGACAAGAACCUAGGAUUGCGCCUUAGCAUCAAACAAAAGCACCUCAAACCCCUUCAGGCCAGGCGCAUUCAGUAGGCAAAAGCUCGGCACCCUAGGCAUGCACUUUUGUAAGGCAACACACACAAAAAAGAAAAACCAUUUUUGAAAAGGGAUCCUUCUCAAUAUUUGAGUAUACGACGACAGGCACAGGACCAAAAGAAAUCAUGCACCCGGCCAACAAAAUUAAAAGAAAAUUUAGGUUGUUCACUAAACAAAUUCGACCAACUUUCAGAGUUUAUUAUCAUAAGUAUAAAUCUUAAGCUUAUUAUACACACAAGCACGUACUCAUCAAGACUAACAGAUAAACAAAAAUGCACACACAUGCAUGUGCACCUUAUGCACUCGAGCAAAAGCGCUUUUCUUUAGCGCUUCGUGCCUUAGUCAAUACAAGGGUUCGAACGCAUAGAGUGCACCUUGCCCUUAACAAAACCACCUUUGCCAUCCAUCAAUUUGUAAAACCAAUCAAACAAGGAUACUAUUAACAGAGUUCUAUGUUCUAAGCUAAGAGCCAAUACUUUCUUCCUUAUACACACACACACAGACAAUCAACAUUCAAACAAAAGACCAACAUUCAAAAACAUCUAAUUACAUCAAAAACAUAAGCUUGGAAUGAAUUAGUACGCGUUAUUCAAACAAAUGUCAUCACCUUUCUCUCUUCUUCUUUUUUAAUUUAACGAUGAGAAUCCAAAAUCAGCAGAUGAACAAGGAAAACUUUGAAAAAUCGAAUUUAUUUUACAGAAUUCUCAAUUAUUACUCCAUUUCAAAGAAAUCAAAUGCGGGAAAAUUGAAUCCGAACCUGUAAAUAUCAAAACUGAGCUCCCUGUAAAAGAUGUCCGGGAACUCCUCUCUCAAGGUCCGAAUAGCGUAACCCAUAUUCACGUAAUAAUCCUGCUUCUCCUCUUCCUCUUGCUGGGCUUCGAUCCUCGCUUCACCGGAGCCGAAAAUUGUACGUACAACCUCAAGUUUUGGCUCAAACACGAAACCGUACUGCCGGCAUCUUUAACACCGACCCUAGCGUUGGUCCUUGACCAAACUUUCUCGUCGUCGUUCUUCGAAAUCGCGCAGCUCUUGAGAAAUUAGGGCGGGGGUAGGGUUAGAGAAAAAUUUUGCAGAGGCGGUGGAAAUUUCAGGUGAAGGCAUGAGAAAUGCCAUCUCGAAGUAUGGUUCUAGAGAAAAUUUGGAGUAGAGAAGGUGGGAUUAAAAGAAAGGAAGUGAAUUAAAUGCCAUUUUCUUUGGACGGAAUAAAAAGUGGGAAAUUUCCAGGAUAGGGUUGUUUGGAUAGCCAGAGAAUCUAAGAGGGAAUAAGGGAUCGCAGUUUUUAUUUUAAUUUUUUUUUUUUUUGGGUUUCCCGAUUUCAACCAACCGAAACCACCNNNNNNNNNNNNNNNNNNNNNNNNNNNNNNNNNNNNNNNNNNNNNNNNNNNNNNNNNNNNNNNNNNNNNNNNNNNNNNNNNNNNNNNNNNNNNNNNNNNNNNNNNNNNNNNNNNNNNNNNNNNNNNNNNNNNNNNNNNNNNNNNNNNNNNNNNNNNNNNNNNNNNNNNNNNNNNNNNNNNNNNNNNNNNNNNNNNNNNNNNNNNNNNNNNNNNNNNNNNNNNNNNNNNNNNNNNNNNNNNNNNNNNNNNNNNNNNNNNNNNNNNNNNNNNNNNNNNNNNNNNNNNNNNNNNNNNNNNNNNNNNNNNNNNNNNNNNNNNNNNNNNNNNNNNNNNNNNNNNNNNNNNNNNNNNNNNNNNNNNNNNNNNNNNNNNNNNNNNNNNNNNNNNNNNNNNNNNNNNNNNNNNNNNNNNNNNNNNNNNNNNNNNNNNNNNNNNNNNNNNNNNNNNNNNNNNNNNNNNNNNNNNNNNNNNNNNNNNNNNNNNNNNNNNNNNNNNNNNNNGCAUUCCACUCCCAUUGCCUUUUUGCGAAGCAAAAAGAAUCACUAUGACCCAAGCGACCACAAUAAAAACAGAAAGAGACAACCUUUCAUAUUUAAAUCGGACAUAUGAACAAAUUCCAUGAAACAUAAGCUUCUUCUUCCUCUUCGAAGGUCGUCGAAUAUCGAUUUGGACUCUUAUCCUCAUAUAAUUACGAUUUUCUUUUUCCAAAUUAGAGCCAUCAUACUCAAUAAUUUUUCCAAUAAAAUUACCCAACUGCACCACUAGAUUUUCAGAAAAGAACCCAAUUGGGAUGUCAUGAAUCUGAACCCAAAAGGGUGUAAAAAUUAAAGGAACUCUCAAUGGAUCCUCUCCCCCACUUAAGUUUGUAUAUCACCAAUAAAUGAUUAUUAAAAGUCCAAGGUGAACCCUUUAAAACCCUCUCCAUGUCCAAAAUAUGGAAAAAUUGAAAUAAGUACCUUUUUUCUCCUAGAUCUUGAAUUUGAACAACCCCGAACAGGAUGCCAUAGAUUAGCCAUUGUGCUUUUCAUUGCUGGGAAGUGAAUAAUACUAGCUGUGAGAAAACACCCCCACUAAACAAAACGUUUCCACCUCCCUCUCUGAGUUUGACUCGACUUGAACUGUAGAAUCUCAUCUUCCUCCUCAUUAAUUGAUAAACCAACAAAUUCUGACUCCAUGAGUAAGAUCAAUGCAUAAACGAGAAUUCCAAAAUUAUUAAAAGAGAUCAAAGGAAUAUUUCUAAAUCGCCGUCAAAGGAACACAAACAAAUUUUUUUCAAAAAGAACAAUAAAACCUAAUUCCUGCCAGAGAGAGCAGACAGAGACGUACUAGGGUAGCAGAAGUUGAUUGUAAGUUAAAAGUUAUAAUUUAUAUCGAUCCAAUUAAAAUUUUUAAUUAAAGUUUAAGUAUUUUAUUUUUGUAUUAUAUUAGUAUUUUAUUUAUAAUGAAAAGAUUAUCAUUCUUUUUAAUUUUAGAAAUAAUAAAUUAAUUAUUGAUUUUAACGGUUUUGAAGUUACGAUUUUAAAAGAAAUGAAAAAAGAAUAUGAGUUAACAUCUCUGAUUAUUUCAAUUAGAGAGUUUAAAUUCCAAAAAUUUAAUAGAUUUAUACAUUUUCCUCCUCUAAAUUCAUUUGUCCAAAUGAUAAUCUUUGCUUGUUUGAAAUUACUUAUUCUAUUUAUAAUGGUACCUUUUAAUCUUAAUUCUUAGUGUAAUGAUCAUUACUUCAUAAUUUUAAUUCUUUUUUCGAUUGAUAUUCAUUACAAGUAAUAGUGAUAACCCAUCACCUCCACAAUUGCACUAAAUGUGAUAAUGACAUCUAUGAUCUCAAUUAAAAUCCAUGAAGCCUUCUCAAUCUAAUUGGUCACAAUUAGAUACAAAACAAAAAUGCGUCCUCAAAGAAUAAAAGAAAAAAGAAUUGAUGAACAAAAAAAUGAAGAUCUCAGCUCAUCAUUUUCACGAAUGGUAAAAAUGCUUACCACUAAUCAAAUCAAAUCAAAAUAAGCAAAAGGAAUCAGCCUAAAAAAAGCCCUUUUGUUAGGGAGUUUGUUUUCACUAGUGAAAAUAUACAAUGCAUAAAAUAUAUGUACACAGAAGCAGCAGCAGCACUUGGAUAGGCCUUUUUAAAUCGUGUUUAUUGAUUUGAUUUUGCAUAAUAAUAUGGACCAUGGUGAGAUCAAUGGUUGCAUCUUGUAUAUUAUCAUUACCAAUCAAAACUCAAAAAAGGCUGAAUUGAAGACUAUGAUUUUAGACGAGGGCUGGCUGCUUCACCUUCCCUACCAACCUUGGGUUUCUUCUCUGCCAUUUUCUUACUCAACUACAAAUAUUUAAAAUAUUAUAAUUAGAUUGAGCUCAAAUUGGGUUUGAUUUAAAAAAAUUACCAAAUUGAAGUUAAAUAAUCAGCUUGAAUCAUUUUAUUAUAGUAAAUAGAACUCUCAAACCUUCAAGUAUUUAAUUUCAUCCGAUUGAACCUUGAUUCGACGGAAAUUGAUUAUGACAAUUAGAUGCUGAAGACUAAAUUGAUUACAAUAAAAUAAUGAAAGCUUAGAUGAUUAUUUGGUUUUGGUUUAGGGGCUCUUUUAUUUAAGCCAUAAAAAUCCAUAUACUUCUAACUAAAAUUAAAUUCAAUGAAAAGAAUUAAUCAUCCAAACCCCUAUCAUUUCAACCCUCAAAACAUUCAUCCUUACUCAAUUGAGUCCUCAACUGGAUGGAAUUGAUUAUGCGAUUAACCAAUUUUGUCCAAUAAAAAAUUGAUUUUAAAGAUUUAAUUGAUUGUAAUAAAACAAUAAAGCUUAGAUGGUUAUUUUUUCGUUUUAGUUAUAUUUAGGCCACAUAAAUUUAAAUACUUCUAAUUAACUUAAAUUCAAGUAUUAAAAGGAAAAAAAAGGGACCUCUUGAACUAAAGUUAAAUAAUCAUCCAAGCCUUUGUCAUUCACAAUAAAUUGAGCCUUCAACAUCUAUUUUCAUGCAUUUGAACCCUUCAAAUCUAUUUUCAUCCAAUUGAGCCUUCAAUCUGACAAUUUUAGUCCAAUCAAGGGUUCAAUUGGGUGAAAAAUAGAUGCUUGAGGAUUUAAUUGAUUUUGUAUUAAAACAAUGAUGGUUAGAUGGUUACUUAGUUCAAGAUCAGGGUUCUUUCUAUAUUUAAGCCAAAAUUCAAAUUAGGGAGAUUGGAAGAUCAGGCUAACUUACUGUUGGAUUGGUGAAAAUGAUCAACUGCUUAUCUGCGGUUGAGACUAGAAGAUUUGUGUUAUCCUUGUCCAAAGCAAGAGCUGCAAUAUCCUGCCCUUUUCCCAGUUUCAACACAUGGAGCACCUGUAAAUCAAAGAUUUUAGCCAGGUGACACUAUUUGCCAAUAUGGUUCGUUCUCCUUAUGCGUAACAUGCAUUCAAAGGAGUUUAAUCUCUGGAACACCCCAUUCCGAGAUGGAGGAAGAGAGGUUUAGUCUCCCCAAGGUACCUUAGAACAAAAUUAAUGCAAACUGAAUCCACAAGCAUGGCUGCAUUCACCAUAUACGGUGGGUAAUAAUAGCAUCUUUGUUUAAAAGUUUUCUUGUACCUUCAGAGCAUGCAGAUCCAAGAAGCAAACUGAAGGUGAUGGAAUAUCCAAUUCUUCAAUCUCUUCUGACUCGAGAUUUGAAUAAUCAACCCCGGGAUUCUUAAAGCUGAAGUUUUGGUUGUUAUUGAACACUCCAUUGGAAGAUGAGUUCAUUCCAAUCAAAGCACUGUUGCCAUCCACAGAAAUUUCCAUGCAACUGAGACCACCAAAGGAAGGAACUUUUGCUGUUGCCACUGGAAUCCCAUUGAGAGUGAAUGUUCUGAGAACAUGUUGCAAUUGGUUCCAGGUUAAAAUGAUUCCCGCAGAAGAAAGGCAGACAGUGUCAGCUACCACACCAGCAAACCGUCUCAUCAAGCAACCCUUCCUUAUAGAAUGUAAGAGAACAUCUGAUGAAUGACCACAUGAAACAACAAUACCUAGAUCUGAAUUGACACAACAACAAAUAACUUCGUUGCGGUGACCCCGAAGAACAUGUAUGGGACCUUCUAUCCUAUGCUUCCUGCUUUUUUCUGCCAAGGUGUUAGCUAAAGUACCAGUAGUUGAGGUUGGUGUGCCAGGGUCAGCAGUUGCUUCUGAUGUGCUGCUUGAGCUGGAUGUUAAUGCCCUAUGUAUCCUCCAAAGUAAUACGGUAGUGUCCCGGGAACCGGUCACGAGAUAGUUGUUAUCUGGUGAUAGAGCAAGGCAAGUGACAGGAGCACAGUGUCCAAAAGCCGUUUCUAGUGUUUUUGCUCCAUCAGAUGAGAGUAACUUGAUACUGUUAUCCGCAUGUCCACCUAGUUAAAUUCCAGAAAAUAUAUAUAAGGAGAUACUAAAUAACACAAGAAAUGUGCAUAACCAUUAUCAAUAACACUGAACAUGUAGUUCAAAAUUAAGUCUCUUACUGCUACAAAUGUUCUAUAAAUAGUGGUUGAACAGCCAAUCAAAAUUGAAAAGUAAAGGGACAAUUCACAAGUUAUUGAUAUAUUUUUUAACCAAUGUUUCACCUAAAUAUUUAAACAUUGAACAGUAGAAGCUGGUUGUAAAAGAUCAGAAGAUUAGACUCCAAAAACUGUUAUCAUCAUCAUAAAACAUAGUUUUCAUGCAGCAUUUCACUGCUAUGAAAUUGAAAGAUUAUCUUAUUAUAGAAUGUUAAUGAGAACUUGGGAUAGUUUUAGAUAUGCUAGCCAUCCACCCUUUUUCUUUUACAAAGGGACCAAGAUUUGUUAAGAGACAACUAUAAGCUCAUUUUAAAAUACAAUCAUAGUUCAUUUGGUUGACCAGAAAAAGUCUUUAAAAGAAAAGUUCAAUUCAUGCUUAUAAAGUAUUCUUCAGAGUUCAGACAAUGGUACAUGUAAGAAGCAUCCUUUUCCAACUUAUUACUACAAGGACCAAAGGAAGGAUUCUAAUGAGAUGUUCUAACAAAAUCCCAGCAAGCAUCUGAAAGAAAUAUUACUUUUUCUUUUCUGAUUUAGGGUUCAUAAGCUGAAAGAAAUUUAUUAGACAAAUUAUGAAUCAAGAGGCUACCUGUAACAAUUUCUUUAUCACAUGUAUGGAAACAAUAGAUGAACUCCUGAUCCCAGACGAAGCAUAUGCUAGUGCCUGGGGAAACUGCUCCUCAUCAGAACCAGAACCAGCUGGCAUUUUUAACAUUCUUAUAAGUGCACCACCAGCUGAGCUUGCGAUUGCCUUUCCAUGUUCAAACAUAAAUGGUGUUCCCUGAUCAUCAGGAGUGUUUGGCUGCCACUUGUGCUGUGCAAUAUGAGCUGCUGGUGCAUUGUGCCAACAAUUAUGAGAGCAUCUGAACAUGCAUGAAUAGCAGAUGCAGGCAAAUUGCAGCGUUCAGGACGAGGGACAGCAUAUGGUUUGACUGCUCUUGGGUUCCGAAAGAUUGUCUGGCAUUAAAUGUUAAUCAGAAGUAGAUCUAACAUAUUCAUUUUCGAAAAAAAAAGUUUGCCAUUAGUGAAAGGACAUUAUUAGAUCACUACUGAACUGCAGAUGGAAUUGCUAAUUGCUACCUGCAAAUGAAGAACCUCUGAAAGUGGCAUCUUCUUCAUGUGAGGAACAAUAAGGAGUUGGGAAGGAGUUUGUCCAAAAUAAGCGAUCUUGUUUCGUGUAGCACACUGUUGUACCUUUUAUAUGUAAACUUGUGUAAGACAAUAAAGAAGGUUUCCCAAAUAGAGCAGACAUUAGAAGAAAAGAUAACCAAAUCAAACUUACUGGAUCAGAGAUCUUAUUUAAUAUCAAACUGUCCCUUCAUAUGUAAUGUAUAAGAACAUGUUAUUGGACAAUAGCGCUUCUCUGCCUCGUUGCUUAUACCUAAACAUUCAAAUUCACUCAUGUAAAAUCUUGUAAACUCAAGGUUUUUUAAAACAAGAAUCUCUGUGAACAAUUAUUAUUAAAAAAAGAAUAUUACAAUUAUUAUUAGUGAAAGUAAUACAAAAUGUACCCAAAUAUGAGGUUCAAUCCAUUCAUUCAAAUGUGCAGAGGACAUGCUCACUCUCAAGAGCCAUUCGAUGUUUAUGAAUGAAAUCAACUGGGGUUUGUGUCCAUGGUGGAGUUUAACAGAAUCUGCAUGUUGAAAAAAAGAAAAAGAAUCAGACUCAGUGCAAUGAAUGGCUUUUGGUUUCUCUUCAGACAAUGAAAGAGGAAACUUAGGUACAUACCAAGAUUUCUUCCUACUUGUGUUGUUCCGAAGUUGAUUGAAUAUCAUUGGUUAACAUCUCAGGAAGGUAAAACAAUUCAGGAACCUAACAGAAAUAAUAUAAAAUAAAAAGCAAAUGAAGGAAAUAUUGAUACUCUACUGAAGUACAAAUGUGUCCAAAACUGAUCGGCAAGAUAAGACAAGCAACAAUCACAGGGUACACACGUGCUUCAUAUUUUAACCAGGACAAAACAUAAACACACACCCAAUUCCUUCACACUGAAGACAAAAUUAAAAACACCUACCAAUUUCCUUCACAUCACUCAUGUCCUCAAGCAACUCUAUUCCAAGUAGCAGCAACAUCUGAAAAUAUCCGUCGGAAUGAUUAAAAUAUUUCUCCUUGCAGCUGAUUGAAAGAAGUAGUAAAUGGCUCUAUUCUAACAAGAUAGUACAAAACCUGCAAGAAAGCACCACAUAUACAAAGAAGUUAGAUAAAGAACCUGCUCAAAUUGAUGGCAAAAUUAACAAAAUCAACUACUUUUGCAUAGAAAUAGAAAAUUGGAUUGAAUACGAUGAAAGUCUUCCAUCAAAAAAAAUAGAAAAAAGAAAUUAGAGGAAAGGAAGACUUCUUGCAAUCACAUUUUUAUUCAAAUGAAUGUUUGCACAUAAUUCAGAGGAUAGAUGUAAAUAAUCCUUAAAAACUAAAUAAUGAAGCAUGCAACCUAGUGAACUGGCUGAUGCAGAAUGCAACUGUAAAUCUCAUGUAUUAGAUUUAGACCAAUAUGUUAAAGUAGCAUAUACUACAGAUUUCAGGUGCACAGCAGCUACAUGUUUGCCCUAUAAAGGGGAUUAGUCUAUCAUGUGAAGCACCAUCUGUAGGGAUGAAUAAGAGUAUCAUACAGUAGGUAGUAUAAUUUAAUUUUUAAAGCCAACUACUGCACAGGUAACAAUUGCACGCACAUGUAUGCAAAUGUCCCAAGUCUAUGAGGAAACAAACUAAGGAAAUCAAACCCUUCAUGAAUAGCAGGGAUAUAUCUGACAUUGUCCCUAUUUCAAGGAAUUUUCUUAUAACCAUCAUAAAAGUACAACUAGAAAUGUUAAAUAUGUUAGAAAACCUACAGUUCCGGCACUUGAAUAGUGUGAGUCAUAGUGGAACUUGGGGAUAACCGGAUCAUUGAAGUUAACAUAUCUCUCUUGGAAUUUCUUCAGACGAUCUGGAUUCAGUGCCCCAACAGGCUGCAAACACACAUGACUUUGUAAUGGAAAAGGAUAGUGCCGAUAGAAAGUAUGUGCCAGCAAGAUUCAAACUACCUUUGAACUGGUAGUCAGAAAUGAUCCAUGGGAAAUACUGGAGUACUGUAAGUAAGAAAGAAAAGGGCAAUGUAAGUACGCACCAAAGAACGUUGUGAUUAUCCAUCAAAAUGCACUCAGAAACAGUCUCACUUGAGUUAUGUCAUUGUAACUCCGCCCAGCCAAUGUGUUUAGCUGCAUUAAAUAUUCAAAAUGCUGAUCUGCAGAAGGGUUACAAUUCUUCUGCCAGUAAUUAUGAUGCUUAUUUAUUGCAUGUGAAUUAUUUAUAUAUGUACUGUAAUUCAUACCUCCCACCUGGCCCAGCGCUCCAUAACUGAGUUCUUUUCAGAAGUUGUUCUGGUCUCUACAUCAGAAACAAUAUAAGUUCAGGUUCAGGAAGGUAAAUAAAAAAUGCAUCCUUUAACAGCAGCUAAUACACACACCUUUAGCUAAGUUGUAAUGAACCCAAAUUUUUAUAGAAGUAAAAUACCAGUGAACUUUCACUCAUUUCCUUUAAAUACAGAUGAUAUUAUCUAUCUGCAUUCGUGCUAGACCUCUUUCAAUUAAAAUAAAAGAAUAUAAAAUAAAAAUAAAAAUCAACCAAAAUACAACCUGAGUUGCAAGAUAAAUGUUGUUCAAAUGAGGAGGUUGUGCUUGAACAAUAGCUUGGUAGGCGUUUCUUCGGGCCUCGGAACUCUGGAUCCAUUUUUUUUUUUUUUAAGAAAGAAAAGAAGAGAGGGGAAAAGCCAAAGCCAAUGCAAAUAAGAGGAACAUACAGGGAGUAAACAACCAUCAAAAGCGUACUUCUUUUAAUCACAAACAAAUAAACUUUGAAGGUGCAUCCAAUAGGAACAUACCCCAAAAUCAAAGAAGAAGUUAGAACGGUCAACCAUGAACAGCUCCAAGGCACUUCGUCUUAAGAGAUAUCUAUGGCAAAAAAAAACCAGCAAAUGAGGCACAAAGAAGACGUUAAAGCUAAAGCAAAAUUCGAUGAUGAAAAGUUAAAAUUCUUUAAUGCAGCUAUGAAAAAUAUUAUUAUGUGAUGGAUAACUGUGAGGAAUAAAUAUCUCUUUACGCUCCUUGUAAUAUUAAUAUAAACAAUAAGCACAAAGAGAGAAGACCUUAAAUUCAUUACUGGAUUUUACAACAAUAACAACAACAACAAUAAUAAUAAAAGAAAUCCUCAUCUGCUGGUCAUAUCCAACUCUUGCAGUAUAGUGUGCAGACAUUCACAUUGACAUUUUCAGAAUAUUGAGAAAUUUUUAGAAAACUUUUGGUUGUUAAGAGAUAGAUGAGAUGCUGAAAUAAAAGUAAUUUCAUACAACAAUAAAAUGGCAGCAGCAUCUUUUUCUCAUUCCUUGUUUUAGGCAAGCAUCUUGUUUCAAUAUUUAACAGCAUGAAUUUAAUAUGAAAUCAAGGAUGGUUGAUAAUAACUAGACAUAUAUUGUCUGAUAAUGAUAAGCAAGAUGAGUAUAAUACAACUACUGAGAAUAUCAAAUGACAAAACUUGAAGCUCAAAGCUAGUAAAUACAAUAGUGAUGCUCAAAUUUUCUAAGGCUAGCUUGAACAAAAAUGACAAUAAAACUAAUAUGUUUCACUAUAACUUCACCUUCGGCUAUACAUUUGAUGAAGAGAAGUAAUCAACCAACUAUGGUCUUUUUGGUCAUUUCUCAUUUCAGAGUUGCCUUCCAAACCAUCCAUUGUUGUGUUGUUUUCCGUAUAAUCAACUAUAAAAUUUAUUUUCUUUGUGGUUACCUGAAAAAAGGAGAAUAGUUCAUAUUCUUGAUGACCAUUUCUUCUGGUUUGAUAUAACAAGUACUGAAAGUAUGAGAAACAAGUCGCACUAGAUUUGCAACAGUAGUUUCCAUUCUUGUUCUAGAACACAAAUAAAAAGAAUUUAUCUUUUAUCCUAAAUCUAUAGGAAAACUAGCAUCCACAGACACCUAUGACGGAGGAUUAUGGGAAAGCAGGUGAAAUAAGGAUUGUAUAAAGAUGUAUGAUAGCAUCCUCAGUGGUCAGACAUCUGGCUCUGCAAGUGUGACAAAUGUUAAUGGCUACUUAGUUUAAAAGUCCCCAUAGUUGAGCUGUAAAGUUGUACCUAAGCUAUGAGUUAUGAGAUGAAAAAUGAAUUAGAUUGGUGACUUAUAUGAGGGCCUAUCUCAAUUAGCCAGAAACAUUUAGAGAGGAAGCGGGACUUCUAUUCUUGUAGACCUCUUCAUUACUUUUCUGUUCUAAUACAAUUUAUCGAUCUUAUACAGUAAGUUGACAACUUAGCUGCAUACUUCAUCAUAUUUUAGACUGGCUGUUGUGACUCAAGUAGAUUCCUUCUGUUAACGGAUCUAAUCCUAAGCACCAGAUAGCAUGCAGUCCUCAUUUAAAGCCAUUUAAGAAUGAUGUUCCCUUUAAGUUCAUGCACUUCUGUCAAAAUCCACAAUUCGCUAAUAUCAAAAAGAGGCACUGUUCCCUGAAAAUUUCAGAAAAUUGACUGGUUCUUCAGCCAACAGUCUUGGUCCUAUUAUGAGUUUAUAUGCCAAACCAUAUUGCCUUAAUUAAAGAGAAUCCUAUCAGAAGCUUUUGAGAAUCCAUGCAUCAGAAAUUUAUCAUAGUUUAAGCAAUUCAUCUAGGUUUGAGAAUUUGGUGGUAUCAAAGAAAUACUAAGCCCACUGUAAAGCAGUGUAAAACAACUAUAUCACUGAAUAUAAUCUGCAAAUAUUUUAACACAAUAUAAAAAUCUUACUUGAAAUGUUCCUCGUAUAAUCUUCAGCAGUCUAACCAUGGAUGAAGGAAGUUCAAACACAAUUCUCUCACCAAGUCACUAGAAUUGUAUCCAGGAGCAACUGCUGAUAAACUUUGGACCAAGUCUUGCUCAUUGGAAAAUUGAGAAUCGGUAGAUUCUACCAUUUGUGCAAGGGUUGCCCAGAUAUUCCAUAAAGCCUUGGCUGAUCUUUUCCACCUUGGUCAUUUCAUAGCCUCUGUUGUCUUCAUUAUCAAGUUCUGGCUGUUCAUCAACUUCAUUCAAUAAAUUUGUUGAGAUUGCUUCUGCUGCCAGAAUAGGAGCAGUAGAUGAGCUUAUGACAUCUUGCUGAUUGUUUUUCAGAUCACUUUGAUCUUCAAAAUUAGUAGCACUGCCAAAAUGAGCAGUCCCUGUGUAAUUCCUUCUCAAAUAUGGUCUCAUUCUUGAAGAACUCUCCAUAAACCUUAGCUUACAUAAGUCUACACAUAUCAUAAAAAGGAAAGAGAAAUGUUAGAGCAGGAAGAAGAAAAAAAAAUCAGCUAUCUGGAAACAUAAACUUUUUCUUUUCAGAAGGAGAAAAGAGAAGUCUAAACUUACACGUGCCUGACUAGGUUGGUCCCCUGCUGGUCCAAAGAGACAUUUCAUCUCUAUCAAGCAAAGAACAAGUUUACGCCAUGCUCGAAUCCCAGUGAAUAACUGGUGUUGUGCAACUAGAUCAACUUGUGUGCGCCUAUCAAUCUGGAGAGCAAAAAGUAGAUUAAUCCAGUUACUAACUUUUAUUGCAGCCUAAAAAAGCAACAACAAUCAUGAUAGCUAGCAGUAAUCAAACCUCUGACCGCUGAAUAUUUCUUGCUAAAGCAAAACUUGCAACAAGGACUGCAAUAAAUUUAUAGGAUAAAGCAUUAAAAUCUUUCCCAUAGACUGAUUUUGUAUCAACUGGUUGCAGACAUUCCAUCCAAGCAACUCCCAUGGCUUCAGAUUCAUUCCAUCUUUUCCACACGUUCCAUAUCACUAGCAUUCCUCCUCUGUGCAGAAGUAGCCAUUGCAAUCGCACAGAGACCUCUUCCAGAACCAAUCUUUGAGUUGCGUUCAAGAUCACGUGCAGCUGCCAAGGCAGCAGCUUUUGCAGCAGCCUUGUCUUUUGGAAAGGAUGAUGAUUUGUUAGGCGCUGUGGGAGGUUUAUGAAAGCUUGAAAAAGUAUGCAGCUUAGUUGUUUUACGCUCAAGCAUGAGGAUUCACGUUUAAACUGUGUGGUUGCUGGAGAAGCUGGAGUUUCUGCUCCGCUAGCCCCAGCAGCAAUCAUUGCCAAUGCCAUUGCAGCUGGUGGUGAUGCAAACGCAGCAGCCCAAUCUGGAGAGAUCAUUGCAAGAGCUGUCUGGAAAAAAAAGUGGGGUGGGGUAAAAAUUGAAAAUUCUCAAGCAAGCACCAAUGAGAAAAACAUUGAAAGAAGGAAAACAAUGUAGCGUGAGGAUAACAACCAACUCUGAAAAAAAAAUUCCUAGAAAAUAAAUUCCGGCUCCUUGCUGAGAGUCAUGCAAAACAGAGAAGCAUGCAUGUGUGCACAUAGUACUGUUGGCACUAGGAAAGACAAAUUAACACUUAUGAGCAAGAUUAUUUUACAAAAGGAGCUAAGAAUAAUAUGUAGUAACCUCUAACGGUGGAGGCAUCAGCAGCCAACCACAGGAUUACCAACAGCUAGAGGAUUCAAACCAUCAGCAGUAGCAAGUUCAUGGAUUCCUGCCAAAAGUGGUCUCCAUCUCCUCAAAACAGCAAUAAAAGGUGGUACAAUGGCUUCAAGAUACUGUUUACGAAGCAGCUUUCUGUCCCUCCCAACAGCAUGCCAUAUCUGCAGCAUAUGUCAUGUAUAGGCUAAUUCAGAAAUAUCAAUCAAGAACCUAGAUAAUCAUAGUGAUGAGGAAGAAAUAAAAGUAAACAUUAAACAUUCCUUUGCAAUAUCAUAACAGAAUGAAUAUGACAAUAGAUGAGAACAAAGAAAAGAAGAAGACAACAUAUUGCUGUGCCACAAAAAGUUGAAGAGUAAAGCACAAAAACUAAUGAAGUAAAUAAUUUGUUGCUAUUUCAUACCAAGCAAUUCACUUAGAACUAACCUCAGAAUAGAGAACACAGGAUGCUACCAAAACUCUCUGUCUCUUGGAAUCAGAAACUGGCAUGUUCAGAAUAGGAGAAAGCACACUGCAAAUAAUUAAAUUAAUAAGUUCUAAAAUCUCCUUGUAUAUGAGUAAUGGAAGUGAGGUGGAAACAAGACCAAUUAGACUACACGGUACAGGAGAAGAGACAGAGCAGGCACUUUAGUGGAUAGAUAUGUACACUUAUGCAUCAUGUGGUUGUUGAUUAGGAGAAUCCUCCACUAACUUACCUCCACAACAAUGCUGACUCUGGAUUUCCUGCUGCGAUUCCAUCACUGUUGUCUAAGGACAUGAUGUUCUCUCCUUGGUGAUACAAUGCUUCUGGCACUCCAUCUUCUAUGCCCACAUUCCUCGCGACCAUCUUGUCUGCUCCAUUAUCAUCUUCCCUCAUUGAAAGAAGCACCAUGCGAAGCAUGCAUAAAAAUGGUUGGUCACUGUCCAGUAACUGGUAAGGUGCUGCCAUUCCUCCCAUCCCAGUACCUGAUCCACCACCUAUACCAAGGCCGCCACCAAGUCCAGAAUCAUCUAACAAUAAAGCUUGGAGCAUGCUUACAGACUUCUUCACUAGAGGAAGUUCAAUCCAAUUCCCGUUAGGAUCCUUUUGUAAAGCAGCACUCCACAACUCCCAGCCGCUGCCACCAGCGCCAAACUCGCUAGUUUUAGGAAAGCCAACCCCAUACCAUAAGCGGCUCCUGUAUUUCCAACCCUCAGCUAUAUCCAUAGCACAACUUCCAUAUGACACAAAAGCUGAGGAGACAGAGUCAUAUGGCUCAGCUGCAGCAGCAGCAGUAAGCCUUUCCAUCGCCUUUGCAGAAAUCUGCCCGUUUGCAUCAGCCAUUGAAGCAAGGACCUUGUUUGGAAAAAGAACAUGAAAGCAGGAAAUAAAAAAUAUUAGAACAAGGCAUAGCAUAAAGGAAGUCAAAGCAAUGUCCAUAAAAAGUUAAUAAUAACAAUCAGGCCUAAGAACUGUCACAUGUCCAUGCUAUAAGUCAGGAAAUCCAGGAAGACAUUAUGGCUAAUAAGGCUAUCGUGGAAGAUGAAGAAGUUUAACAGUAGAGAACUUCAUAAAGACAUAAAUCUCUAAAUAUGAAAAUUCCAUGUAUGCAUAGACAAUUAUCUUUAAGGGGGGCAAUGCACGUACAUCAAGAGGAAGUCCACCAGAAUUUCCAGAUCUACGAUCAUCCGAACCUUCUGAUGAUUCUCUACCAAUUGAUUCUCUACCAGUUGAUUCUCUACCAGUUGAUGCAAUGGAAUUUGAGUAAUUAUAUAGGGGAGAUACGAGAGAAAGCGGAGAUACAAUACCCUCAGCUUUGUGUGAUGCACAAGAAAGUUUACUUUGUAAACCGUAAAUGAUCUUCAACAAGCAUUAAAAUGACAAUUGCAUUCUCUACCAAAAAAAUAGAAAGUUGCGCAGCGUUCUCUGCUUGUGCCUUGGCUUCCAUUGGGGACAAACCUUCUGCUGCAACCCCAGCAGCAGCUGCAGCAAUCACUUGAGUCUGCCAUGGAAGAAAAGCUUAAUGAAGAAUUAUUGCAACUUUUUCCUCUAGUAGUGAGACUUAAUACUAAUCAUUGAAAAUAUAAACAGCCGCAGAAAUAUGAGAAAGCAGCUAGUGGUGAGAACAGUAAAAUAACAAAAAUCAAGAAAAUAGAAGCCAUAAUUAUUGCAUUAAACUGCAAUUGUUAAAGACCAUCUUACCUGAGCCUGCAGCUCUCUAGCAGCGAAGUCCAGCAACCCAAUCAAAAGCCUUCUCUUGAAUAUUGGCAAAUAUUCUUCACGCCUUCAGAAAACAACCACAAAGGAAAUCAAAAUAAAUUAAUGCUUACUUGUUCAUACAAAAAAUAUAUUACAGAUAAGCUUUCACCAAUAAUAGCAACUGCUGCCAAACGUAACACAUUUAAUAGGCUUCAUGAAGAACACAUAUGAAAACAAUCAGAGACAAUGUUAAAUAAAUCACUGUAGCCUUGUGGCUAUUUAAUAUCCUAUGCAAAGCACAUUAAUAUAUUGGAUACACAAAGUGUUUAGUGCAGUGCAUGAUGUAUCAGAAUUUUAAGCAAUAAGAAAAAGAAGCAAAUUAAGUUUCUAUACUUUGACACUUCAUAUCAAAGCAGCCAAUGAUUUUGUUACCUCAAGGAAGGACAGAAUUCAAUGACUAGGUGAUUCUACAAGUUGGCAAGUGAGAUCUUUAUAUCUGUGUAAAUACAAAGUGUAGAAUUCUCCUUUGACAAGUGCAUGUUGUGAUGUUCCGACAGAAGUGCUCAUUUUACAUAGCAGUCCAAGGGAAAGGAACUAAGGUUCAACAAAUCACAAAUGGCACCAGUGUACUGUUGGAGACAAUUACAGCAAUAAAUUUAUGGAACAGGACUCAAUAGAGUUAAUACCUAAUUCUCUGAUCCCCAGUGCUUGAUCCACCCACAAUAGAGAGCCAUUCUGCACAAUGAAUUGUAGCUUCAAUAUCCUGUAAAUUGGAACCAAUAACCAGAAAAUAUAAAUGGAACUGACAUGCUUGAAUUAAGGGGGACAAAUAUAUAUUGAAAGAUACAGUAAAGUGGAAAAUAUGGAUAAAGAAAAACCUGCCAUCCAUCCUUCUGGCGCAUUGAAUGCUCCAAAAUAAUAAUCAGGAAAUUGUGUAUGAGAUCCUCUAUGUCUCCAAAGCUUACUGAAUUAGACUGUUUUCUUUCAUCCAUCUGCAAAAUCAAGUAACAAUUUGUAAUGCUUAACACAAGGAGUAUAUGCAUAUUCAUAGUUGCCCAAAAAGGUCAAUACUAGUCCAAAUCCUCUAAAAUGUCAAUCCUAAAGAUCAAGUGAUGUUAUCCCACAUCAACUAAGUAUCAGGUUUCAUGUGGUGUUAUAUUAACGUUAGGACCCUCCGCUUAAGCCAACUGGCUUUAGGUUGGAUGCUUUAACAUAGUAUUGGAGCAAAGUUCUGUUAUGUUGUUCUUCCUACCUAACCCCAACCCCAAGUGAGGUUGAGAGCCCUGCUGACAUUGUCCAGGGAGUUUUAAGUGGAGCUAUUCAUAUCUAUCAAGUACAGAGUUUCUGUGGUCUUAUAUUAAACUGGACCCCUCCUUCUAUAGCCAAUUGGUUUUAGCUUAGAUACUUUUAACACUAAACAACACCAUCUAACAGAUUUAUAUGCAGUGGAACAUCAAAGACGACAAGGGGAAGAAGCACAAACAUAAAGAAAAUUUGAAGAUGGAAAGAGUUACCUCAUAGUUAUGGAUAAGGACCUCUAGUAUCCACUCAGGCCAUUCCUCCAUUUUUGUUAGACUACUUCUAUUUUCUGGAUGACUGCAAGCCAAAAACAGAAGAUCCUGAACAGAAAUAAAUAACUCAGAAACUAUAAUACAAAAUCAGAAAAAGUCGUAAUAUGGAUAGUUAAGAGCAUGAAAGCAAAACGCAAUGGUAUAUAACUGCAGUUGAAUUCAGGACAGGAAAAAGCUAGGCACAAAAAUAAAUUGGUGAUGGUUGAAAACUGUGUUAUGUUCUGAUAAGCAUAUAUUAGUUUAAAGCUUAUUUUGUAUUACUAUUCGUAAACACUAGAACGAAAUCUGCAACUGAUAAAUUCAGACAAGAAUACCUGUAGUGCCCGGCUUUGGAAAGAUCUAGAUGCAUAUGGCAGCAAACGCAACAAAACCACCAAAAGUUGUAAGUGUUCAAAAUGAUGGCCAGAAUCAUAAAAGCUCAACCUAUCCUCUGUCGAAGAAGCAUUGAUCUGAGAAAAUAAUAAUAAUGACUUCGGCAUUCAGUGCUAUAUGCAAGUACAAGAUGCCAUAAGAAGCUAGCAUAGUUCCAAAGCAUAGAUGAUAUUUUUACUUCAGCAGGCUGAAAAAAUACCACAUCCUGGUUAUACUUUAAAAAAGAAAAGAAAAGAAUUAAAAGAAAGUUUUAGAAAGUUGAUGCAAUGGUAGACCAAUAAGUUUUCCAAUGCACAACUGAAAGAAAAUAUAAGCAGAAUAUCAUUGAUCAUCAAGGUCAAGAUAAUAUUAAAGCAAAAGAUUGUUAUCAUACUGAAGCCCCCAAUAAAGCAGUGUAAGCGUUGCUUGUCAUAAGCCUGUUAGGAGCAGCCUGAAAAGCCUUCUGCAAAGCAUAAAACAGAAGAGAAACUUUAUCAUCAAACAUACUGCCACCUGAAUCACUCAAUGCAACACCAAAAAGGCUGCUUGUCAUUUCUGAGGACUCGCGUAAACCAAUUUUCAGAUGCCCAUUUGCUACUAAAGCGGCUAACAGUCCAAUGACCCCAACAACAAUUCCAUCAUUUUUGUCAACAUUGUAAACAUUAUUCCUUGCAUUGUCGGCACUAAUUGAAAUACUUAUUCCACCCAAAUUCUUCAUAAAAGCAAUUUCAGAAACAGAUGACUUCCUUUCCAUUUUCACACUAGGAGAAGCUGCCACAUGGCUACUACCACCAUCAAGGAAUAGAGAUUCAAAAUCUUUCUGUGAAAUUUGAUCCCUCUCCUUCGUAGACCCUUCAUCCUGGCUUCCUUCUGGUUCAGAUCUUUGAACAGACAAGCUUUCAUCCUCCUUAUUGCUAGUUUCAGGAAUGUUGUGAUCGCCAGCUUUAACUUCUCGUUGCAGGAGGACAAGUAGUGUUUCUAUCCCACCAGAACCCAUGAAAGAACUUGCAAAUGUUUGAGCUCUGGUGGCAUUUGGUUGUACCACUAGCCUGUAGAUUAAAUGUAGCACCCUGGCAACCUGAAAGGAAUACAACUGAGUCAUUUCUAGCAAAACAAUGAGAGAGAUGUCCUCCAAUAUCAGCCAGAAAUAAGAAGCAUGCAUAUAACCGUAUGGUCUAGUUGCAUCUGAUCAUAUGCUGAUCCAGCAAAAGAAAGUCAAAUAGGAUAAAUGUUCUGGAGACCCAAAAUAAACUUCAGAGAAGAAGCAAAAACAAUUUUAAGCACAUCAUCAUCAGAACGCUUACUUCUUAAGAAAUUAAGUUUCUUUCCAAAGUUUAUUUAAUUAAAAAGAUAACAAAACAUCACAAAGAUAGUCAUCCUUCAAUAUGACAAACAUCGUUAAACCAACAUCUGUUCAACUUUUAUCUAGAAAAAGUGAACUGCUCAUCUUUAAAGGAAAUAGUGAAAAGGAAAUAAGAACCAACAUGAACUCACCUGAUUAGGUUGUGGGCAAUCAACCAUGAAUCCUAGUAAACAACGCACAUCAUCUGCAGCCAAUGAAGGUGGUGCUGCUCCUAUUAAAAGUUCAAUGACAACUAAGAGUUCAUCAACCAAAGCAUUCACUUCACCUACUCUCUGUGUAGCAUCAAGUAAGGAGAAAGUAUCCAAGGAGUCCUUUUCAGAAAUUGUCCAGUAGCACCUUCUGCAGCCAUCAAGGAGCAUCUGCAUAGCAUUGGCAUCUCGCAUCACUGUUGACUGUGUGAAGACCAUAUCUGCAAGCGAUGAUAGGAGUUUCUUUUGGAGCCCAUAGCUGCACAAACUCCAAAUUUUAAGAUCCAAAAGCAGUGUACUGAAAAGCUGCACUUUAAGCACGUAAUUAUGCUUCUGAGAUUGACAUAGAGAAACCACAGCUGCAACAAGCUCCUCAUCUCCCGCACCAUCAUGCUUUCCAUCCCCAAGAGAAGACAAAGUUUGUAAAAGAUAGUCUAAGAUUCUUGAAAGAAUCUCAAGUCCCCUUGUGCGACGUAUCUCUUCAUUGUUCCCUGGGUGGUGGAGGGCAAUAGAAAUAAUUCUAAAUAUUGGAGCAGCUAGAGCUGCUGUAGCCAAAGACAAUGGAAGACUACCCUGUUCUGGUUCCAAGCUAUCUUGACACAUUUUGCUGACAGCCAGAGGAAGUAAGGACAUGGGACCUCCAUAGGCUAAAGCCCAAAGAGCCUCCACAGGUCUCAUUCGUGUUGCAACAUGGACUUGUCCAAGAACCUCAGCAGGUCUGCGCAGAAUUCCUGAAUCACCAUAGAUAGGUAAUUUAAGCAAGAACUGAAAAUUACUUAGAUACAAUAGAAAAGAAAGAGGGCCAAGAAAUUUCAAGUUUAAACAUAACAAAAAAGUCAAAUAUGAAGGGGAAAAAAAAUACUAUGGUUGAUUUCACUAAUAUAAACAAAAAAAAAAUGAACUCUUUUCUCCACUCAUCUAGGAAAUAGAGAGUGCAAUGCUGCAAUGUCUGGAAGUUAAUGUAAAGAUGUUAACCAUCCAAAUUUGAUAUAAGCACAAAAGAAGCCUAAUAUUUAAGAGAUGUUGGAUAACACCACUUAAUACUCCCCCUCACAUGUAACACGCAAUGCCUACAUGUGGACAACCUUGCAUGGGAUUUGGUAGGAAGAACAACAUAACAAAAACAAGACUUUGAUAAAAUAUUAAGCAUCCAACCUGAAACCAAUUGGUAAUAGGUGGAGGGGAUCAACUUAAUAUAAGACCAUAGGAGACCUAAUAUUUAACAGAUGUAGGAUAACACUUUACAAACCAGAAAAAGACAAUGUCACAUAAAUGAAACGGGUAAACCCAUCACAGCAGAAGAAUUUACAUUCACAGUCAAGUAAACUGACAUGCCAUCACCAACACUUCCUCCAACAUCCAUGCAUGCACUGAGAGUGGGAAAAACGUAGGAAAAGAAACAUACUAAUAAAAACAGAAGCAUUCUGCAUGCUCGUACUACUUUAAAACAGCACAAAUAAAGGGAAAAGAAAAUGAGAUUAAUAUAACAACUCUCUCCCUCUUAUUUUAGCAAUCUUAUAAACCGUUCUGAUUCAGGAACAUGGAAAGAGAAAAAAUAUCAUAAAAUAAGAAACAAGUACCGAAGAAAAGAACUUAACGCUCAUGGACAUUCAUGCACUAAAAAAGAACUGAAAUUAAAGAUGAAUCUAUUCACCUGCUGAGCCAGAAGGAGAAGCAUCUCGACAGAACCGCCCAGUAAGAAGACAGGGGUGGUAGAGUAGGUGAAGACAAUCUCCAAUUUCAGCAUCUAAUAAACAACUUUCCCAUGCCAUUCUUUGAACAUGAUCAUUUGUGGCUAGCCAAGGAAGUCCUGCACCAUUACCAAAAGAAGGCAGCAUAUCCCCUCCCCUAGAAGCUAUUCGUGCCAUUCUUUCAGGCCCAAUUGGUUCCUUAAAGAUAUACACUGGGCCUAUUUCAGCAAAUAAAGGGCAUUGACGGCGACGGCGCUGUAAGCCGCCCAUUGCCGGAGGAGGGCUUGUCCCAACGCAACUGAAAGCUAGUGGCUUGGAAAUGCGAGGAAAUUCAAAAGGAUGGCUUUCAUACAAAGAUCCAUCAAUAUAUAAUCUCAAUUCACUGUCUGCUUUCCCAAUAAUUCCCUGCCUGCAUACAUAUUCCAAUCCAAUAAAAUACCAACAUUGAGGUUUGAAUGCAUGAGUAAAAUGUAAAGAUGUUUUCUUUCCUUUUGCGCUACCACUUUCAACCACUAAAAAUUGUGCAUGAAAAUAUGCCUCUAUUCCCUUAUUAUCAGCAGAUAAGAAGCUAAAUAAACAAGGCAUGUGUGCUGUGCCUUGACCAGCAAGGGCACUUGCAGCGGCAGCAGCAGACAUAGCCGAUGAUUUUCCUGACUUGGCUGCAGCUGCAGCAGCAAUUGCAGCUGCAGCAGUUGCUGUGUUUAAUGUAUCUGCAAAGGAUUCAAUGUAGAUCCACGUUGCAAAGGAAAAUCCAUUGGUAAAUGGCCAACGACUUUCCCCAGGACCAAGUAAACCAGAGCUUUCACCAUCAAAUUCAAAGGUGCGUGCUGGCCCCCUCGACUCUCUCCCACUCACUGCCUUCUCUAAUGCAAUCAUUAAGUGAGGUGCCCAAAUGGUAGUCAGUGUUCUUGUAAUGACCUGAAACCAUCUACGCAAAUCAAUAACACUAAGUGAAUGCCCCGCCAAAUGUUGGAUGCAAUAACAUAAGGGAGUCCCAUCCCAUUUUAUAUGCUCUAGUGAACCAACACCCUGAGCAAAAAUAUUCUCAGCUGACCUCAAAAGCACUUGUAAUAAACCAGCCAUAGAGCACAUUGCCCUGUUUCUUGUGCAAGCCCGCAAUAUAACAAGCAAGCCUCUAACCAUCCGUGUCCUGGAAGACAUGGCAAUGUCACUAUCUCCUUCCCAAGGAAGCCAAGGGAUUAGCUCACCUGCCACUAUUGCAGCCCGAGAGUUUAGCAUCACACUAGGAGGAUUGUUAUCCUCGUCCUCUUCAAAACUUUCAACUCCACCCAUUGUGGCAAUAAGUGAAUCAACAAUCAAGAAAGGAAUGCUCUCCAUGUCUUCCUCACUUCCAAAAGUCUCAACCCCAGCUACAAUAUUCUUCAGCUUGUUCAAGCUUUCAGGGUUUCCCAUAAUGGCAGAAUCCACCAAAUGCAAUAGCUCAGGAGACACGUUUGGCAUAGCAGCUUUUGGCUUUGCCUUUCUUGGUGAAGCAUGGGGUGAAUAUCCAGAAUCUGCAUAAAAGACAGAAUCAAGACAAGUUGCCGAGCUUGACUGCCUAAUAUCAUAAUCUGUAUGUCUUGCUGGUCCAGGGCUUGAAUUAGAACGGUCAUGCCAUGUUCCAAUCAUUGGGAAAGAAUUAUGCUCCUCAAACCCACCUGAUGAGCCUCUGUCACAGUCUAAAUCUUCGGAUGGAUUCGUAUCCAGCUGACCACCAUGAGACUCCCCAGCAGUCUUAGCCUGAUUUUCUAGAGAUACAUGCUCAGAGUUGUCCUUAUUCCCAAUCAUAGAUGCAGAACAAAACCCCUGUGACACUGCAUUAUCAUUUCUUAAUACAGCUUCCUCGCCAGUUGUAAAAUUAACGUUCCCCUGAUGAGAUCCUCCUACCCUAUCUGAGAGUGCAUUAGUUUCUCCAAAGUUCUUUUCUUCCUCUUUUUCCAUUUUUUUUCUACUUUAAAGGCCUAGCAGAUACUCAUUUAUAUUAUUUACAACUAAUUUUCCUGCGAAAUAAAUAAAUCAGAAUGAGAAGUGUCAUUCCUAUUAAUUCUUAACACUCUUAAAGAUGCAAAACUAUCAACCACGUGAAACUAGUCUUGUAGUACAAAAAGAAGAAGAAGAAUUGUGAAGCUCCUCUAAAUUUGCUAAUAUUCUCUGUGAACUAAACCAAACAGAACCCUGUAACAUAAUUUUUUUGCACACUGACUAAAAAUUAAGCGCAACUUCCCCUCUGGCAACUGACUCAAAUUCGGACAGAAGAAAAAGCAAGCAAUUCAAUUUUGAAUCAAAUAGUUAGAUAUAACAAGCCGCAGAUCCAUCUCAUGAAGCACGUAAGCAUUCAAAAUUAUAAGUUUCUCUGACUUGUAUGGUUAAAAAAAUGAUCUCAUCCUUACAUUGACGAAUCGAUCAAUUACCAUUGAGACUAAUAAUCGGGAAUAUGAGAAAACAAGAAAUGAUCGAUCCAACCUAAUUGAAAACAUAAAUAAUUGAGAUACAUGCAGAGAUCAUAGUUUACCGGUCAUUGAUUUGAAUAAUUCUAACAUACCUAUAAUGGAGAAAGUAACUGAUGAAGUUACCUCAAAUGGAUCAGUUCGGUUCAAAUUCUUAAGUUUCCCGUUGAAUGUAUCGAUUUCAAAGUAAGAACGAUAAAUAAAAUCGAAAUGAGAAAGAGAGAAUCAAAGAAGACGAGAGAGCAAAAGAGAAAUGAAAAGAGCGCGAAAAUGGCGCGAAAGAGAAGGUGCAUUUGGCAAGUAAUUAGCGCAUUAGGCCUUCCUUUUGAUUGCUCAGUCAAAAAAACUAAGGAUCAUAAUUGGCUUAGGCCUUCCCUUUUUUUUCUUAUUUUAUUUUUUCGAUUAAGCACGUUUUGAGGUUAAAAAAAUUUGUAUUUUACCCCCACAUAUAACAAUAAAUUAUUAAAAAAUAGAUUUUCUGAUUAAAAUUAUGAUUUAUAAGCUAAACAUAGAAUUUUUUUAAUUUUUUUUCUUGUAUAAAUCAGCUUUCAAAUUUUAAAUAACCGAAACUAAUAUAAUAAUAUAUCAGAUAGGUGAAAGUACCAUUAAUAUAUUUGUAUGUUAGAAGUGAAUGAAAAUUUUAAUGAAAAUAAUCAAUUUAUUUUUUAAUCUUACGUGUAGGAUUAAUUUGUUUUUUAUUAAAUGAAUAAAAUACAAUUUAACUUUUAACAUAGGGACUUCUAUAAUAUUUUUACCGAAUUAGAUACUAUUAAAAGAAAAUUAAUUUCUAAAAAUAAAGGCCCAAAUGGAAUAUAUGAUAGGGAGAUGGCCGAAAACAUUACUUAGGUCUAAUAUUUUAGGUCUUACUUAUAUAAGAAACAAAUCUUUUAAAAUAUUUAAAUAGAAGCCAAACCUUGUCCGAAUUCGUCGAGUAACAGCUUAUGUGGGUAUAUAUUGGACAAAAUUAUAUUAUUUAAAUCUUAAAAAAAUUAAAAUUAUGAUAAAAAAAGUUUAUUAUAAAAAUAUUUUAUAUGUUAUAAAAGUAUAAUAACAUAUUUAUUAAUACAAAAUUAUAACAAAGUAUGGACAUAACUUAUUUAUGUGUCCAUGUUAUAUAUUGUAAAAGUAUAUACUCAAUCAUAGAAAAAUGUUAUAAUUUUUUUAUAUAACUUAUUUAUAAAAAAUAACUUUUUGAAAUUAUGACAACAAUUUAUAUUAUUUACAAGAAAUGUUAUGAAAGUUUUGGAUUUAUAAAAUAUUUUUUAUAAAGUUUAUAUAUUAUAAAAUUCAUGUUAUUUUUAUUUAAUUUACAUAUUAUAAAAAGGGAUAUAACCUAAGUCUUUCUUUAAAUUAAAUUUAUAUAACUUUUAAUAAUUAAAGCUACAGAUUAUUUAGACUAUGGACCCAAAUAUUAUAAGGUCGAUGCUAAUUUUGCAAAUAAAAAAAGUUUUAUUACACCAUGUCGUGGAUAUGAUACUAUUUGAGAGAAUGGUGCUAGACCCAAGCACCAUAGAUAGUUCACAAACUCUUUAGUUUGAGUCAUGCAAUACUUCGAAAUGUGAUUGAGAAUAUAUUUUUUGUUCUAAAAAAAAAUUUCCCGUAGUAACAUCACUUUAGUAUAGUAUAAAAAAAGGUUAGACCUACUAGCAUGUUGCAUAUUUCAUAACUUCAACCAUAAGGGAAAUUGACAUGGUUCAUACUUCGUAGACUACAUGAAACAAGGAAAUCUUGAUAAUAUUAAUUAUGCAAAUUCAAAUUCGGAUCGUAACGACCCCAGUCAAGGACCAACAAAUGAUGAUAAAGAGCAUAUAUUAGAUAUUAAAGAGUAAAUAAUUCAACAAAUAUGCAGUAGAACAAUUAGAUAAAAUUGAAUAUGAUUUUUAUUUUUCUUGCUAUUUUUAUCAGUAAUUAUGUUAUCAACUACUUUUUAAACUAACAUAAUAUAUAUAUGAUGAUUUGAUUUGAUUUUUGUUACUUGCUUAGAAAUUAUUUUUAUCACAUUAAUAAUUUUUAUAAUAAUUAAUAUUUUUUUAAAAUAUAAAUUAUAUAGUUAUAUAUUACAAAUUAUACUACUGAAUAUGACAUAAAAAAUUACGAUAUAAUUCAACUUUAUCAAGUUUAAAAAAUUAAAUUUUUUAUAAUUAUGGAAAUUAUUUUUCAUUGUACCACUAAUGGAAUUGAAAGCAAAGGUAAUAGACAGAACAUUAAUUGGCCCACUUAAACUAAUAAAGGAACUUUGAAAAAAAAAUAGAUUUAAUGUUAAUGAUUUUUGAGGUUUUAAUGUUUUAUUGAUAAUAAAUUUAGGUCAUUUAAUUAAUUUUUAUCCGUGCGAGGCAUGAAUUUAUUUAUUUAUAUUACAUGCAUAAAUUUUACGGAAUAUAUUUAAAUUUAAAUAAUAUUAAAAAAUUAUUUUAUAUUUAAAAUAUAUUUUUAUAAAAAUUUUAAAACAAUGUUAUUAUAUUUGAUUGUUGCAUGCAAUUAAAUUAUUUUGUGAUUUUUGUUUUAAAUUUUAAUUAUAAUUUAAUUUAUGAUGCUUAAGUUGUUUAUCUUUUCAAACUUUAUUAUUAUCAGGAUAAAUUACAUAAAGUCACCCAUGUAUAAAAAAAAUUAUUUUAGGUACCUAAAAUUAAAAAAAUUAUAAUUUAAACACUCGUUAUAUACUUUAGUUAUUUUAAUCACUCCUAUUAAAAUCGGUAUAGUUAUAAAUUUAACCUUCAAUUUUUAUAUAUUAUAUCAAUUUAGUCAUAAUUUAAAAAAUUAACCUUAUUGUAGAAACAGGUUCUUUAUUGGUCGUUUCCAUUUUCAUUGCUGCACGCUGAAUUCUCUCGGAAAAGUGACUCCAAAUUCUUAAAAGGGUCCCAUACGUCGAUGGCGAAUGGAUCGAAGAUGUUGCUUCGUCCAUUGCCGAAGAAACUUGGGAUCAAAGACUUUUUUUGUCCUUUUCAAAUUCUUGGAAUUGCUUUUAGGUGUGUUGGGGUCAAUUUGAGAAUUAGGCAAUUAGUGUCAAUUAUUUCUUGAAUCAAGGAGGAGAUGCAUAGGUUCGGUAUUUGAAGGAUACAUAGGUGGUUUGGGGACGGUGGUGGGGGAGCUACAAUUGGGGCGAGAGGGAGAGGGACGAGGUGAGAGUAUUUUUAUUUUGUUUAAUAUUAAUAUAAUUGUAUUUCUUUAAUAUUAACAGAAAUAUUAAUAUAAAAUUUAAAUUUAAUAUAUAUAUUUUUUAAAAUGCUUAUUUAUUAUUAUAAUUGCCUUCCAACCAAAAAACCCAAGUUCGAAUCCCAGCAAAUGCAAGCAUUUUUUUUUUAAAAACACUUCCAGGAGCUUAGUUGAACAAAGCUAAUAAUUCCAUUUUGCAGCGAACUUCAAUAUACUUGUAUUUUUACAAAACCAUACAACUUGUUUGAUAUCAUAAUAGGAGAACACAACCCAAGCAAAUACUAAGUGCUAGCUUUGUGAUCUAAACCAAGUUUUUUACACAUUAAUAACACCCAUUUCAUGCUAUAUAUAGCUCAACAAACCAUGAAACACAUUAUUUACCAAAAAUUAUAAAGAACUUAAGGUGGUUUUAUUAUGUUUUUUCUGGAGGUGAAGCUGAUGAAAUCUCGAAGUAAGUUGGCCUUGGGGUUGAGGGGCAACCUACAGAUCGGAUUAAAUCUUCCACAGCUAGCACUUGAAACUUAGGGGGUGAAUUCAGUGCGAUGUUGUCGACUCGGUGCUCAUAUAUUUUACCCUUCUUGUCGAGUUUGUAUUCAGAAGUGCCAUCGAAUCG
This 27581-nucleotide long non-coding RNA is filed under the name Gossypium barbadense (sea-island cotton). Its description in RNAcentral is "long non-coding RNA (GBAR_LNC018258)". Lineage: Eukaryota; Viridiplantae; Streptophyta; Magnoliopsida; Malvales; Malvaceae. The record is from RNAcentral.